AUGGCUUGUGGGACCAUUGAUGGCAAGAAGAGUGCCAGGGUUCCUCAUGUACAGGACGACUCUUUCUUGGACUCGUUCUCCCACCUUGGGCUUAAGGCAGGCAGCCAAGCCACCACAGUGAUUGGCAUAGACCAAGCUGCUCCACCCAGAGGCACCCAGCUCAACGGAGACCUUGGUAACCCAGGCAUCAGAAAGGAGAAGGUAUAGGAAAGCUGAGGUUGGCAGGAAUGAGCUUCUGCUAGAAAUGUAAUGGCGAAAGAGAAGGGAGAAAAGCUGAAGAGAAGAUUAAAUUGAGAAAUCUGAGGUUAGGAGAGGAGGAUGGACUAAAAAUUGGGGAGGGGAAAGGGUUGCUAAGAGACAAAACUAUGGAUAAAGAGAAAGAAGAAAGUUGAUUUCCUAUAAUGAAGGGUUCAGAGAAGGAAUAGAAAGUAUGUUACAAGAGGCAGCUAGGCGCCUCAGUGGAUAGAGAGCCAAGCUUGGAGACUGCAGGUCCUGGGUUCAAAUUUGACCUCAGAAACUUCCUUGCUGUGUGACCCUGGGCAAGUCAUUUAAUCCCAAUUGCUUAGCCCUUACUGAUCUUCUUGAAGGGAAAUGAUAUCAGUUCUAAGACAGAAGGAAGGAAGGAAGGAAGGAAGGAAGGAAGAGCUAGUUAGCUAUAGGGCAAUACCAUAAACACAAGGCUGAGAUGAUGAAGCAAAGGAGAUCCAGGAGGAAAGUGUUAGAGAAAUGUGAAGAGAGAACACUUAAUAGGGUGGGGAAAUCAGGGAAGGAUUUAAGAAAGAGGUAGCAUCUGAAGUGAGCCCUAAAUUACCCCAAACCCUCAGACCUCGAUCUUUUGGAUUUAUAAUAUAAUUUA
RNAcentral lists this long non-coding RNA (856 nucleotides) under Monodelphis domestica (gray short-tailed opossum). Its description in RNAcentral is "lncRNA (ENSMODG00000040519.1)". Lineage: Eukaryota; Metazoa; Chordata; Mammalia; Didelphimorphia; Didelphidae. The record is from RNAcentral.